RNAcentral lists this ribosomal RNA (467 nucleotides) under Kluyveromyces marxianus. RNAcentral describes it as "eukaryotic LSU rRNA". It matches the Rfam family "Eukaryotic large subunit ribosomal RNA", at positions 104 to 633 of the family's 3401-position model. The record is from RNAcentral. Lineage: Eukaryota; Fungi; Ascomycota; Saccharomycetes; Saccharomycetales; Saccharomycetaceae.
AAAGCUCAAAUUUGAAAUUCUGGCGUCUUCGACGUCCGAGUUGUAAUUUGAAGAAGGCGACUUUGUAGCUGGUCCUUGUCUAUGUUCCUUGGAACAGGACGUCAUAGAGGGUGAGAAUCCCGUGUGGCGAGGAUCCCAGUUAUUUGUAAAGUGCUUUCGACGAGUCGAGUUGUUUGGGAAUGCAGCUCUAAGUGGGUGGUAAAUUCCAUCUAAAGCUAAAUAUUGGCGAGAGACCGAUAGCGAACAAGUACAGUGAUGGAAAGAUGAAAAGAACUUUGAAAAGAGAGUGAAAAAGUACGUGAAAUUGUUGAAAGGGAAGGGCAUUUGAUCAGACAUGGCGUUUGCUUCGGCUUUCGCUGGGCCAGCAUCAGUUUUAGCGGUUGGAUAAAUCCUCGGGAAUGUGGCUCUGCUUCGGUAGAGUGUUAUAGCCCGUGGGAAUACAGCCAGCUGGGACUGAGGAUUGCGAC